RNAcentral lists this ribosomal RNA (420 nucleotides) under uncultured bacterium. Its description in RNAcentral is "bacterial SSU rRNA". It matches the Rfam family "Bacterial small subunit ribosomal RNA", at positions 356 to 773 of the family's 1533-position model. The record is from RNAcentral.
AAGGAAUAUUGGUCAAUGGAGGGAACUCUGAACCAGCCAUGCCGCGUGCAGGACGACUGCCCUCUGGGUUGUAAACUGCUUUUAUACGGGAAUAACCCACUCUACGUGUAGGGUGUUGAAUGUACCGUAAGAAUAAGGAUCGGCUAACUCCGUGCCAGCAGCCGCGGUAAUACGGAGGAUCCAAGCGUUAUCCGGAUUUAUUGGGUUUAAAGGGUGCGUAGGCGGCCUUAUAAGUCAGGGGUGAAAGACGGUAGCUUAACUAUCGCAGUGCCUUUGAAACUAUAUGGCUUGAAUGUACUUGAGGUGGGCGGAAUGUGACAAGUAGCGGUGAAAUGCAUAGAUAUGUCACAGAACCCCGAUUGCGAAGGCAGCUCACUAAAGUAUGAUUGACGCUGAUGCACGAAAGCGUGGGGAUCAAAC